Molecule: long non-coding RNA, 753 nt
Organism: Hemiscyllium ocellatum (epaulette shark)
Lineage: Eukaryota; Metazoa; Chordata; Chondrichthyes; Orectolobiformes; Hemiscylliidae
Exons: 3
Source: RefSeq, a predicted model, not a curated record
CAUUCGAGUCGCCGAAGUAACCCUCUGUAUUGAAUGGAAGUCGUGAAAUCACUCUCGGGAUGAUCGGCAAAAGAAUUAACAUUUUAUUCCUGAAUGAAUAGAUAGGAAUGCUGCUGUUUUAGAAGGUUCCCUUGUUGUUGAUGUUGUUUUGCCUACCACUUAUGAGUUUUAGUUGCUCAACUUCAGUGGCAGUUGGCUUGGGCUCAUGUUCUUCAACUCCCUCCAAAGAUGAUGCAAACGUUCUGAAAUCACAACUGAGAAGAGAGAGAAGGUGGACAAUGACAGGGGGCAUUAAAGUUUGCUGGGGAGUCAAAUUCUCCACUUGUUCCCUAUGCCUUCCCCAUUUUUUCAAUCAUGUUAAUUGCAGACACAUUUUAGUUGUUGCAGGGAAAUGCCUUCAUGCACAAGGGUGGGUGAAUUGUACUUGGCAGCAACUCAAUCCCCUGUUUAGUUCCAUCUGACUAGCUGCAGAGUGUCUGCUAUUUCCAAAUGAGUGCUACAUUCCCUGGCAAGGCAGCUGCACCUAAUGAUAAAAUCUGUCUGGUGUAACUUCCUUGGUAAUAUAACUUGUAAAACAGAAGGAAUCCUGGCCAUAAAUAAGCUGAAAUUAAGAUGCAGAAAAUUCUCUGGUCUCGUCUACUUUUAAAACUUGGCAGCAGAAAAUCUAUCAGCAUGAUUCUUAUCCAAUCUCCACUAUGAAUAUAUGAGUAAGUCAGACAGGAAAGACCAGUUGAUCCAUGCUUACGAUGGUUU